GAUGAACGCCGACAGAAUGCUUAACACAUGCAAGUCAACUUGAACUUCGGUUUGGGUGGCGGACGGGUGAGUAACGCGUAAAGAACUUGCCUCACAGCUAGGGACAACAUUUGGAAACGAAUGCUAAUACCUGAUAUUAUGAUUAUAUGGCAUCGUAUAAUUAUGAAAGCUAUAUGCGCUGUGAGAGAGCUUUGCGUCCCAUUAGCUAGUUGGAGAGGUAACAGCUCACCAAGGCGAUGAUGGGUAGCCGGCCUGAGAGGGUGAUCGGCCACAAGGGGACUGAGACACGGCCCUUACUCCUACGGGAGGCAGCAGUGGGGAAUAUUGGACAAUGGACCGAGAGUCUGAUCCAGCAAUUCUGUGUGCACGAUGAAGUUUUUCGGAAUGUAAAGUGCCUUCAGUUGGGAAGAAAAAAAUGACGGUACCAACAGAAGAAGUGACGGCUAAAUACGUG
Molecule: ribosomal RNA, 454 nt
Filed under: uncultured bacterium
Lineage: Bacteria
Description: partial 16S ribosomal RNA
Rfam family: Bacterial small subunit ribosomal RNA
Source: RNAcentral